Molecule: ribosomal RNA, 390 nt
Filed under: uncultured bacterium
Lineage: Bacteria
Description: bacterial SSU rRNA
Rfam family: Bacterial small subunit ribosomal RNA
Source: RNAcentral
GUCGAGUGGCGCACGGGUGAGUAACGCGUGGGAAUCUGCCCUGUGGUACGGAAUAACACCGGGAAACUGGUGCUAAUACCGUAUAUCCCCUGAGGGGGAAAGAUUUAUCGCCAUGGGAGGAGCCCGCGUAGGAUUAGCUAGUUGGUGGGGUAACGGCCUACCAAGGCGACGAUCCUUAGCUGGUCUGAGAGGAUGAUCGGCCACACUGGGACUGAGACACGGCCCAGACUCCUACGGGAGGCAGCAGUGGGGAAUAUUGGACAAUGGGGGAAACCCUGAUCCAGCCAUGCCGCGUGUGUGAUGAAGGCCUUCGGGUUGUAAAGCACUUUCGCACGUGAAGAUGAUGACGGUAACGUGAGAAGAAGCCCCGGCUAACUUCGUGCCAGCACC